Molecule: long non-coding RNA, 1751 nt
Organism: Helianthus annuus (common sunflower)
Lineage: Eukaryota; Viridiplantae; Streptophyta; Magnoliopsida; Asterales; Asteraceae
Exons: 4
Source: RefSeq, a predicted model, not a curated record
UAAGUGUGAGCUUUGAGUAGUUUUAGAUAUGGGUCAAAAAAGGUGAGUUGGAUAGGGGAUGCGUAUUUGAUUUGUUUGAAACUUUUUCUUUUGUUAGUUGAUUAGCAGUUCAGUAUGGGGAAAACUUGGUCUCUUUGACAUCUUUAGUGCUCAUACAUGGAAGGUAUGCAACACCUGUUAUAUAUGUUUAUUUAUAUAACUUUUAGUUUUAAAUAAAAAUAAUGUAAAAUAAGAGUAAAGCACUCCCUCUGAGCAGGCUAUUUGGUCUACACUUCCCGCAUAACUGGACUGUUAAUGGGUUGUAAGUAGACAUGUUACUGCAUAACUAGAAGGUUGUUGUUUUCUGUACUAAGCCAAAACCUUUACAUGGGUGGAUCUAGGAGUUUAAGUUGUUCAUGUGCAUAUCUAGAACUGCUCUUUUUUUCUCUUAUAUAAAAAAGAAAAAGAAAAAUUGUUUCUGGAUUAGAUUAGAUAUAUACAAGCUUUAAUAGGCAUGUAAAUAUUUAUUAAUUAAGAAAAUCAAGUUAUGGAUAAAAAGCGUUUCAGGUUAACCCAUCCUGGAAAUUAGAUGUGUAACCAAUUGCACACCCAAACCAAGUGUCUUUUGUAACUAAACUAUGAGUAGGUUUGCAUUUGCGUUCGAUUAGCAUUCUAUUAUAUCUCUUUUUAAAUAAUUUACUAUUGGAAUACACAGGCGAAAAGUUCGACAAAGCAAAAAACACAAGAGCCGAUAUAGUUAGUUGGCGGAGAGGGAAAUGCAAUAUCAAGCUGACACAUGGCCCAAGUUUUUUUCAUCUAUUACAUAUAAUAAAUGAACAUAAUUUGGUCGCGUGGCAUCGUGCCAUUGCAGCUGGGAUUAUAUUUGGCGCACUACUUUUAGGUUUUCAAACAUAUUUGGACGUUUUACAUGAUUAUUACCCGUUUUCAUGUGCAAAAGGAUAGUGUGUUUACAAGAUGUCCAAUUUUUCUUGUAAAAAAAAGAGGUUAGAUAGUCACGUUCAUAUGAAUAAUUACAUCAUUCUAAUUUUGGUUGUUCUCUACGCACCAUCAAAUAUCUUUCACCACUUACGUUAUGUUUAUAAUUAUUACCAAGCUUUCCAUAUUUUUUGUUACUUGAUAUUAAGAAAUAUUAUUUUUUGCAGACUCAUGGAUCGGGAGCCGGCCAAGAAAGAGCAAAGAAAACAAUUGCCUUCCGAAAGGUUGACGAGACUAUGGAUAAACUCAAAAUAUGAAGCAAAUUCAGGAGGCAUUGGGAACAGCAUCGGGUGCAGCUGCUGAUUACGAUUAGGUCUACAUUUAUUCGAGUGGUAGGCAAUUUGCACAACGGUUAAUAUUUGGAUAUAAAAAGUAUGGCUACUUAAGGAAAUAUUUAUGUGGAUAAUUUGUCACGUGAGCGAUGUAAAACUUGAUCCUUAGAUUGGGAGACCAAUUGUGUAUGGGUUGGCCGCAAAAAGGAGAGUAUGGAGUUGGAAGAAAUGUGGAAGGAUGAACUUUCAAUGAUAUAUGGAUGUCACUUUGUUUAUGAUUUAUGAAGUGACUUCAAGGUUAUUAAAUUUUAUGUGUCUGUUAAAUCAAAGAGGACUUGCAUCUAUAACGUUGGAUGUGGCAGGGCGUGCUACACCAACCGGACUGAGUUUAUGAUACUUUUAGUAAAUUGUAAAUGUAACAUUAUUUGUCAUUUUCUUGAUGUUUUUAUACACAUCUUAUAAAGAAAACUUCAUACCUAAUAAUACAAUCCACUUUGCUACUAA